This 253-nucleotide ribosomal RNA is filed under the name uncultured bacterium. RNAcentral describes it as "partial 16S ribosomal RNA". It matches the Rfam family "Bacterial small subunit ribosomal RNA", at positions 524 to 776 of the family's 1533-position model. The record is from RNAcentral.
AACGUAGGAGACAAACGUUAUCCGGAGUUACUGGGCGUAAAGGGCGUGUAGGUGGUAGUGUAAGUCUGGCGUGAAAUUUUUCGGCUUAACCGGGAAAGGUCGUCGGAUACUGCACAACUAGAGGACGGUAGAGGCGUGUGGAAUUCCGGGUGUAGUGGUGAAAUGCGUAGAGAUCCGGAGGAACACCAGUGGCGAAGGCGGCCAGCUGGGCCGUCCCUGACGCUGAGGCGCGAAGGCGUGGGGAGCGAACGGG